This 492-nucleotide ribosomal RNA is filed under the name uncultured bacterium. RNAcentral's name for it is "partial 16S ribosomal RNA". It matches the Rfam family "Bacterial small subunit ribosomal RNA", at positions 29 to 507 of the family's 1533-position model. The record is from RNAcentral.
AUUGAACGCUGGCGGCAUGCUUUACACAUGCCAGUCGAACGGUAACAGGCCUUCGGGUGCUGACGAGUGGCGAACGGGUGAGUAAUGCAUCGGAACGUACCCAGAGGUGGGGGAUAACGCAGCGAAAGCUGUGCUAAUACCGCAUGUGAUCUGAGGAUGAAAGCGGGGGACCGAGCAGCAAUGUUUGGCCUCGCGCCUUUGGAGCGGCCGAUGUCGGAUUAGCUAGUUGGUGGGGUAAAGGCCUACCAAGGCGACGAUCCGUAGCUGGUCUGAGAGGACGACCAGCCACACUGAGACUGAGACACGGCCCAGACUCCUACGGGAGGCAGCAGUGGGGAAUUUUGGACAAUGGGCGCAAGCCUGAUCCAGCAAUGCCGCGUGCGGGAAGAAGGCCUUCGGGUUGUAAACCGCUUUUGGCAGGAACGAAACGGUGUCCGCUAAUACCGGGCGCUAAUGACGGUACCUGCAGAAUAAGCACCGGCUAACUACGUG